UUCAUUUCUUUUAUUUUUUUAAUGCUUUCCUUUACAACUUUUCUUCAAUACUUUUGUAAAUUAUGAGAAACUAUUGUAAAUGUGCAAAUAUGUGAUAAUUUGUUCAAUUAUUGUAAUUGCAUCUUCAACGUCAGAUUUCACUCGAGCCAAACAAAAUACCAGAGAAACGCUUAUACUGAUUGAUUGCGCCUUUCCGAUAUCAUUACCCCUUAAAUUUGGCAAAG
RNAcentral lists this long non-coding RNA (224 nucleotides) under Nicotiana benthamiana. RNAcentral's name for it is "long non-coding RNA (NBEN_LNC042210)". Lineage: Eukaryota; Viridiplantae; Streptophyta; Magnoliopsida; Solanales; Solanaceae. The record is from RNAcentral.